UACGACAGCGCCACCAACGCGAUUCUCUCGAUUCUCCAGUCCGGAGGUCCAAGUGUGUGGAAAUAUUGGUUUGUGGGUGUACUCCUGUGCGCUUAUAUUCGUUCGAUCGUUCGCGAGAGGAAUGAAGAAUUUAAGCAGCAGAUGUAUGAGAAAUGAUUAUUUCAUGGUCGCGAUCCUCACAGUCCGCUCCGGCAGCUUCGAGACCCUCCUCGUCGCUGUCCCGCAGCUCCGAGGCCAUUUUUGGGCAGCUCGUCGAGCCUAAACUGUGCUCGCGUCCGCCGCACAGCACCCUCGAGCGGACCAAAGGAGCCGAAAAGCAUCAGCAGCGAUAGCAGUGUCCAAAGUGUGCACCCGGAAGCUCGGAGGUGGAAAGAGAAAGCUCGCUCGGUCUCGACCGUUCAACCCCCAGGACUCAUCCCCUCCGUAUCAAAGAGGCGUGUGCGGUAGCCCACGGAUCACAGAGUUAACACUCAGAUUUUCGAGCACUGUACGAGGCUUGUCAACGUUCCUGAACUUAACAUCAUUUCCCGCUGUACAUCGCUGCCUCGAGCCGAACUCUCCCCCUCGAGGAUGGGGUUGGGGGACUGAGCCCUCCCCCCCCCCCCCCCCGCGACCCGUUCCUCGCUUUCUCUUUUACUUUUCUCUCUCUCUCUCUCUCUCUUCCUCCCUCGAUCCUCACCAUUCCCCUGGAUCCCGAAAAAAUUCCAUUCUUCCCUCCUUUUAUUAUCUCAGCGCUGCUGAAAUUGCCGAGUAACACUGCGAUAAAAAUCCUCGCCCGACUCAAGCAUAUAGGGGAACGACAACGACACCUAUUGGCCGACUCACCAAACCGGAGGCUAAGCUGCUCUCACUAACGAAAGCCCGGAGGAUAGUGGUCCAACCACAACACAUGCUACGUCGAACGUCUCUGCUACAAUCGUCCGGGCUGAAUCGCUCCAAUCACAGUGGGUGCAACCAACAGGAUUCCAACGAGAAAGGACUAGUCCCGGGUCACCCGCAGUCUCCAGGCGAAUCCAAUAGUACUUGAUGUUUCAAAAUCCGGUUAGCAGCUAUUGCUCUAGAGUAAAACUAACAGACACUGAAUAUGCAGACCAUCGAAACAGAUUGACGAAGUUUCAUCUUCGAUUUUGGUUUUUUACUGUUUCACAGCAAUUCAAAAUAAAAUUUUGGUAAAAUGUCAA
Venturia canescens is the source of this 1181-nucleotide long non-coding RNA. RefSeq lists it as uncharacterized. The record is from RefSeq and is a predicted model, not a curated record. The transcript is spliced from 2 exons. NCBI's taxonomy places the organism in Eukaryota, Metazoa, Arthropoda, Insecta, Hymenoptera, Ichneumonidae.